This 1328-nucleotide ribosomal RNA is filed under the name Escherichia coli. RNAcentral's name for it is "partial 23S ribosomal RNA". It matches the Rfam family "Bacterial large subunit ribosomal RNA", at positions 419 to 1750 of the family's 2925-position model. Lineage: Bacteria; Pseudomonadati; Pseudomonadota; Gammaproteobacteria; Enterobacterales; Enterobacteriaceae. The record is from RNAcentral.
GGGACACGUGGUAUCCUGUCUGAAUAUGGGGGGACCAUCCUCCAAGGCUAAAUACUCCUGACUGACCGAUAGUGAACCAGUACCGUGAGGGAAAGGCGAAAAGAACCCCGGCGAGGGGAGUGAAAAAGAACCUGAAACCGUGUACGUACAAGCAGUGGGAGCCUCUUUAUGGGGUGACUGCGUACCUUUUGUAUAAUGGGUCAGCGACUUAUAUUCUGUAGCAAGGUUAACCGAAUAGGGGAGCCGAAGGGAAACCGAGUCUUAACUGGGCGUUAAGUUGCAGGGUAUAGACCCGAAACCCGGUGAUCUAGCCAUGGGCAGGUUGAAGGUUGGGUAACACUAACUGGAGGACCGAACCGACUAAUGUUGAAAAAUUAGCGGAUGACUUGUGGCUGGGGGUGAAAGGCCAAUCAAACCGGGAGAUAGCUGGUUCUCCCCGAAAGCUAUUUAGGUAGCGCCUCGUGAAUUCAUCUCCGGGGGUAGAGCACUGUUUCGGCAAGGGGGUCAUCCCGACUUACCAACCCGAUGCAAACUGCGAAUACCGGAGAAUGUUAUCACGGGAGACACACGGCGGGUGCUAACGUCCGUCGUGAAGAGGGAAACAACCCAGACCGCCAGCUAAGGUCCCAAAGUCAUGGUUAAGUGGGAAACGAUGUGGGAAGGCCCAGACAGCCAGGAUGUUGGCUUAGAAGCAGCCAUCAUUUAAAGAAAGCGUAAUAGCUCACUGGUCGAGUCGGCCUGCGCGGAAGAUGUAACGGGGCUAAACCAUGCACCGAAGCUGCGGCAGCGACGCUUAUGCGUUGUUGGGUAGGGGAGCGUUCUGUAAGCCUGCGAAGGUGUGCUGUGAGGCAUGCUGGAGGUAUCAGAAGUGCGAAUGCUGACAUAAGUAACGAUAAAGCGGGUGAAAAGCCCGCUCGCCGGAAGACCAAGGGUUCCUGUCCAACGUUAAUCGGGGCAGGGUGAGUCGACCCCUAAGGCGAGGCCGAAAGGCGUAGUCGAUGGGAAACAGGUUAAUAUUCCUGUACUUGGUGUUACUGCGAAGGGGGGACGGAGAAGGCUAUGUUGGCCGGGCGACGGUUGUCCCGGUUUAAGCGUGUAGGCUGGUUUUCCAGGCAAAUCCGGAAAAUCAAGGCUGAGGCGUGAUGACGAGGCACUACGGUGCUGAAGCAACAAAUGCCCUGCUUCCAGGAAAAGCCUCUAAGCAUCAGGUAACAUCAAAUCGUACCCCAAACCGACACAGGUGGUCAGGUAGAGAAUACCAAGGCGCUUGAGAGAACUCGGGUGAAGGAACUAGGCAAAAUGGUGCCGUAACUUCGGGAGAAGGCACG